This 505-nucleotide ribosomal RNA is filed under the name uncultured bacterium. RNAcentral's name for it is "partial 16S ribosomal RNA". It matches the Rfam family "Bacterial small subunit ribosomal RNA", at positions 28 to 507 of the family's 1533-position model. The record is from RNAcentral.
GACGAACGCUGGCGGCGUGCCUAAUACAUGCAAGUAGAACGCACAGUUUAUACCGUAGCUUGCUACACCAUAAACUGUGAGUUGCGAACGGGUGAGUAACGCGUAGGUAACCUGCCUGGUAGCGGGGGAUAACUAUUGGAAACGAUAGCUAAUACCGCAUAAUAUUGAUUAUUGCAUGAUAAUUGAUUGAAAGAUGCUAUUGCAUCACUACCAGAUGGACCUGCGUUGUAUUAGCUAGUAGGUGAGGUAACGGCUCACCUGGGCGACGAUACAUAGCCGACCUGAGAGGGUGAUCGGCCACACUGGGACUGAGACACGGCCCAGACUCCUACGGGAGGCAGCAGUAGGGAAUCUUCGGCAAUGGACGAAAGUCUGACCGAGCAACGCCGCGUGAGUGAAGAAGGUUUUCGGAUCGUAAAGCUCUGUUGUAAGAGAAGAACGGGUGUGAGAGUGGAAAGUUCACACUGUGACGGUAUCUUACCAGAAAGGGACGGCUAACUACGUG